CUCAGUCCGAGAAGGUGGGCCUCAGUGGGGACAGAACUCCUUCAGUGAGAGUAGAAGGCGUUCAGGGCUGGAAUCACUGGGUUGCUGAGAGUAUGACCAUGUUCCAGAAACAUUCUUUCCUGACGUUUCGCCUGCAUCUAUGGCAGGCAUCCUCAAACGUUGUGAAGUCUGUUGGAAACUACAGUGGAGUUUAUAUAUUUGUGAAAUGUUCAGGAUGGGAGAAAGAACUCUUGUCUGUUUGAGCCAGGUGUGAAUGUGUGAAUGAUUAUCAUGGAAUAGCAUUUCAGCUUCAAGGUCUGGCUGCUUUCUGCCUGGGGGAAUCCUUUGUUUGGAGGUGUUAUCUGACCCAAAUUGUUUCCUGUCUGAAAUUCACCAGUUUGCAGAGUGUUGUCCUUUAUUUACUAUCCUGAUUUUAGAGUUUUUAAUACGGGUAGCCAGAUUUUGUUCAUUUUCAUGGUAUCCUCCUUUCUGCAUGCUUGUGGAUUUCAAUGGCUUCCCUGUGUAGUCUUGACAUGGAGGUUGUUAGAGUGGUCCAGCAUUUCUGUGUUCUCAAAUCAUAUGCUGUGUCCAGGUUGGUUCAUCGUGUGCUCUGCUGCGACUGACUUCUCUGGUUGAGUUAGUCUGCAGUGCCUUUCAGGUUCCUUGAUUCAUGUCAGAGCAGUACUGCAUUUGGUGGUCCCUAUGUAGCCCUUGUCCACAGCUGCAUGGUAUACAGUAGACUAUUGCAGAAGUGAGAGCAUCCCUCUUGACCUUUGCUGAACGUAGCAUUUGUCGGAUUUUCUUAGUAGGUCUGUAGAUAGUUUGUAGGUGGUGUUUCUUCAUCAGAUUCCCUAUGCAGUCAGCAGUUCCCUUGAUGUCUGGUAAGAACACACCUGCGUCAAACAGGCAAGAGUUCUUUCUCUCACCCUGAACAUUCCACAGAUAUAUAAACCCCACUUGACUGGUUUUCAACAGACCUCAUUAUCUCUGAGGAUGCCUGCCAUAGACGCCAGGACGUGGCCAUACAGCCCAGAAAACUCACAGCAACCCACGUUCAGUGAGCUUUGCACUACGGUUUGAUUUAAUCCAGGCAAUUAUUCCAUUCUGACAUAUGCCCCCCCCCCCCCCGCCCGAGACUUGUAAAAGGAGUCCUUGGUAUCCAGUGGGACUCCCCUAGAUACUCUGUGGAUGCUCAAGCCCCAUUAUAUACAAUGGGGCAGUACAAUGAGGCUCCUUAUAUAAAAUAGCAAAAGAAAAUAUCAAGACCAUUUGAAAAUCUUUUUUAGCAUUUUCAAGCCCUGGAUGGUUGAACCCAGUUACAGAAGGCCAAUAGUAUGUACUUGAAAUUAAGCCGCACAAGCAACUGUGCGUCUUUUUAGAGUACCAUUCUGACAUCAUGUUGUGCCCUCUGUCAAUACUGCAUUGCUGCCAAGGCUUUGUUUUCUCCCCACAUUAUGGGCUGCUGUGGAGAAACUGAUGACUUAAUGAGGGAAAGUCAUUUGCAGCAGUUCCUCCUCCUCUUCUUUCUUCUUCUGUCUUAUUAAGUAUAGCUGUGAAAGGAGAGGAAAACGCUUCUGGUAUUUAGAUAAAAAUGUGCUACUACGCUCAAAUUGCUAACCAUCACAGUUGUUAUCACAUCAUAUUCUUCUUUGGUGGUGUGCUGCUGUUUAAUAUUUAUUUAGUGCCAGCACAUGCUAGAUGCUGAUAGUUAUGAAUUAUGGAAUUAUUCUUUUCCGGCUCCAAAAUCCUUUUUAACUGUUUGGGAUGAUGAUAAGAUAUUCUGUCUUUUUAUCUCUUAAAUCUGCACAUUCUCAACAGCGGUGAUAAGACAUGCCACUGAUGGUGAAUUCCUGAUAAGAACAGCCACAUUAUUCUGAAUAGCUAUUUCUUAUUCAACAGUAAACUGGGGCGACUGCCCACUUUUACUUUAAAAAUUCUGAGACAGUCUUUGAGAACAAUCACUAUGUGCCAGAAAUGAGAAUUAAAGGUACAGAUGUAAAUUUAGAGAUUGUGGUUGUACCAGUAAUUCAUUUUCAAGGAAGUCUAUAUCCCAGAGCACCUAAAUUAUCCUUCUAAAUGAGUAAACCUUUAGGCUGGAAAAUCCUCUUGGCAAAGCCCUCUUUCCUUUGGUAAGUACAGCAAAAAGGAAAUGUGCAGUUUUGUAUGCAUAAGCAAAUAGGCCAGUGGAUCAUAAAACCAAUUGAAUCACCUCACACAUACAAUGAAGGAUGUGAAAGAACAACACUAUGCCAUUAGUAAUGAAAUGCCUCCCAUUAUGAUUUAUGGUCUUUAUGUAAAAAGAAUCUCAUUACAGCUAGGACUGGAUAAUUUUAAAAAAAAAUGUCCAGGUCAAUGCUAUGUAUGAUUUCUCUGUGAUGGCUCAUUGCUCUAAUAUCUUUACUUACUUACUUACUUAGGUGAUCCCUCAUUGUCCAAGUAUGAUUGUCUUCCAGGUGUACUGUCCUGGCAGUGGGUACGUAGGUGACUGUGGAGCCCUAUUCUUGAACCACAUGAUCUUCCACAGUAAAGACAUCAGUUUUCAGAUGGAAGGCGGUCCCAGUCAAGGUUGGCUUGCUGCGCCUUCCUCUUGGCAUAUUACAGUGCUCCCUCGCUAAUCCGCGGCUCGGGUUCAGCGGAUUCGCUGUAUUGUGGAUUUUUCCAUCCGGCCCGCCCUCCCUUUGCAGGCACAAAAGGGCCCAGUCUGAGUCAUGUGACCCGGCCCACGCUUCCGCCUGCAGGCAGCACCAGUAGGCCCUGCCUGCACCUCAUCGCCCCAGGAACAACAAGGAAGUCAGAACAGUAUGUUUAAAGAGGAAAAGAGGGAGGGAGGGAGGGAGGCUAUAUUUAUUGAAAUAAAUAUAGUGCCGCUAUAUCACAGUUUUCCACUUUUCGCGGGCAGGCCUGGAACCUAACCCCUGCAAAAAGUGAGGGGACACUGUACUCCCUUUCUCCCUCCAUUCGUACCUCUUCAAAUUCCUCAGCAUUGCUGAUCAUAGCUGACCUCCAGCUAGAGCGCUCAAGGGCCAGGGCUUCCAAGUUCUCGGUGUCUAUGCCACAGUUUUUAAGAUUAGCUUUAAGCCCAUCUUUAAAUCUCUUUUCCUGUCCACCAACAUUCCAUUUUCCAUUCUUGAGCUGGGAGUAUAGUAGCUGCUUUGGGAGAUGGUGAUCGGGCAUUCGGACAAUGUAGCCAGUUUAGCGGAGUUGAUGGCAUAGGAACAUUGCUUCAAUGCUGGUGGUCUUUGCUUCUUCCAGCAUGCUGACAUUUGUCCGCCUGUCUUCCCAAGAGAUUUGCAGGAUUCUUCAGAGGCAACACCUUGAGUAUGAUAUCCUUAGAUGAUCCAUGUUUUGCAGGCAUAUAGCAGGGUUGGGAGAACAAUAGCUUUAUGAAUAAGCACCUUGGUCUCCCUAUGGAUGUCCCAAUUCUCAAACACUCUCGGCUUCAUUUGGAAAAAUGCUGCAUUUGCAGAGCUCAGGCGGUGUCAUAUUUCAGUGUCAAUGUUGAAUUUUGUGGAAAGGUCGCUGCCAAGGUAGCAGAAAUGGUCAUCAUUUUCUAGUGUUACACCAUUAAGUAUUUUUGGCAUUGCAGAGGGAUUGGCUGGUGACUACUGAAAGAGCACUUUGGUUUUAUUGAUGUUCAGUGAGAGGCCGAGUGUCUCGUAUGCUUCUGCAAAAGUGUUUAGAGUGGCUUGUAGAACUUCUUCUGAAUGCGCACAGACUAUCAUCGGCAUAUUGGAGUUCUAUAACAGAUGUUGUUGUGACCUUGGUUUUGGCUUUGAGUCUGCUGAGGUUAAAUUGCUUGCCAUCCAUCCGAUAGAUGAUUUCCACUCCGGUGGGAAUCUUCCCAUCAACAAGAUGAAGUAUCAUAGUGAUGAAGAUGGAGCAUAAGGUUGGGGCAAUAACACAUCCCUGUUUGACACCUGAUUCCACCUUAAACGGGUCACUUUGGGAGCCAUUGCUAUCCAAGACUGUUGCCAACAUGUCAUUGUGGAGGAACUGCAGGAUGUUCACAAAUCUGUCAGGGCAUCCAAUUUUUUUGGAGGAUGGUCCAAAGAGCACUGCGAUUCACUGUGUUAAAUGCUUUUGCAAAGUCAGUGAAUGCUAUGUACAGAGGUUGAUUUUGUUCCCUGCAUUUUUCUUGGAGUUGUCAUGCAGUGAGGAUCAUGUCCACUGUCCCUCUGGAGGGGCAGAAGCCAUUCUGGGAUUCUGGGAGGGUGUCUUCUGAGAAGGUGGUUUGGAAGGAUUCUUGCAAGGAUUUUCCCAGUGAAGGUUAGAAGGGAGCUACCUCAAUCAUUUCCGCAGUCUGUUCUAUCCCCUUUCUUGGAAAGGGUGAAGAUGGUGGCAUCCUUGAAGUCUUCAGGGAUUUUCUCGGUCAUCCACACUUUUUCAAUGAGCUGGUGGCGUUGUUGUGUCAGCUUAGGUUCACCCUCUUUAAAGAUUUCAGCAGGGAUCCCAUAGGGUCCGCUGGCUUUGUUAUUUUUUUGUUGGCUGAUGGCAUUCCUAGAUUCCACCAAGCUAGGCAGCUCUGCAAGCUCAUCCCUGUUUUUUUGUUACGGGAUUUGUGAGAGAACCUCUGCAGCCACAUUGGAGUUGCGAUUCAGGAGGUUGUGGUAGUGCUCUUUCCAACGUAGUGUGUAGAGACAGGAUACGCUAUUCACAGGAGACACGUAUUCACUAGUACCUUUGAGUAGAAUGUCUCCAGGUUCUAACCUAAGUAUAGAUUUGGUUCUCAUUUUUUAUAAUUAUAACAUAUAGCUGAAACCAUGAGAUGCCUACAAGCUGCAAUGUAUGGCAAAAACAGCAGCCAGUCUCCUAAGCGGUUAACACAUUAUUUCAGAUUGCUAGGACCGACAUUAAUUUCCAGUAGACUUGUGGCACAGUUCAAGGUGUUACUAUAUAAUUAGCUGCUUCUGCACAUCUAAGAGACUCUGUCUCCCCCCAAGGUCCUGGUGUAAUAUCACAGGAACACUUCUGGCAUUUCAGUGAAAUGGGAUGACACUGCUUACUGUCACAUCUGUAUUAAAAAAAUCUUUUAGUCACUCAAAAAGGGUCAUCUUUUUCUGUCAAAGACCAAGUAAAGUAUACUGUUAUUUGCAACACACUAGUGUAUGUGAUGUUUGUUAAGAAACAACAGCAAAAAGGAAAAGACAGAUCAUGUUCCAAAGAGUUCAUGCAUAGCUGCAUCCAAAGGCUUGUUUAUCACUGUGCUGCUUUGUUUCCUAAUAUAUUCUCCUUAUCAGGUGGUUUAAUUGGCCCCUUGGCACCCCUUUUAAUGAUGUUCCUUACCUAAAGAAAGACUUGAUUUGAUUAAGCUGUUCAUGGUGGAUGUUGGUAAGUUCUCAUUAUCUUUAUGAAGUGAUUGUGACACAGAGAACCUCUAGGGGUCCUCCUAGGAUUUUUCCAAUAGCCUACAAAUUUGGCUUAGUGAUGUGUCUGGGAUGUUUUCUCCUUCACAGAAUAUUAUAUGAAACAAAUGUCGUUUUUUGACAUUAACCAAGAAACCUAAGCUCCAGAUGCAGGACACCUAAGCCUAGUGAUUUAUGGACAACAGAGUUUCAUGUUACACAACACUUCAUAGGUAACCAUGGCCAGCAGCCAUCUUGAACAUCAAACCAGCCACAUGAAUUUUGAUGCUUGAUUCUUGGCCAGCUUUAACAUUCAUCAGCUGGUUUGAUGAUACACAGUUCUUUGAGAGGUUUAUGUUCAUUCCUCUUCAAAGAUGAUCCACAAAGGUAAAAGGAUAUUUAUAUUUAGUCUAGCAGGAAAGGCCAAAGGCUCUGCUAUGUGUGAUUUAUAUGGCUCAGAAAUACAUAUUGCACUAUAGUAACUCAGUUACAAAUGAAAUACAGCCUGGAAUCUGAAUCCUACAUUGAUUUCUUUGGAAGCAAGCCCUGUUGAUUUCAGUGACCCUUAUAUCCACAUAAGAAGCUCUUCAGUACGUAACAGAACCCAGUUGGAACAGCAGGAAUGUAGACUGUGCACAUCUGUGUGGAGCUAAUUACAUUGUGACAGUCUGAUUAUGCUGUGGCUUCAGAACACAGUCAGCCCUCUCCAUUUGCAGGUUUGGCUUUUGCAUGUUUAAUUAUUUAUGGAUUUGAAUAAAAUGUUCUCUUUAGACAUCCCUAGGUCCUCUAGUGUGACUCUAUUGUCAGUUUCCACUGGAGGACCUAAAGAUUCCUAGAAAGAUGUUCUCUCAGACUGAAAAAUUUAAAUUUGUUAUUUUGUAGUUUUUACCUUCCUGGGGGUCCAACGCCCAAACCCCAGUGAAUAUUUCAUCUUGAAAUAUAGCCUACAAUGGCCCCAUCAUUCCACUGUAAAAAUGCUGAGAACAUAUUCUUCAACUGUUCUGGUUUGGAAGGUCCAGCAAUCAUCAUAAGUUAGCAGGUGACUUGAAGGUACACACACACACAUGUAGGAAUGAACUUUUUUAAAAAUGUCACCAAACAAUCAAAUCUGCUUGAUAAAUACUUCACCAUGUACCCGAGUUUGCAUGAAUCCCAUAAACUGAAUCUUUCUGGGAUAAAUUUGAAAAUUGAAACCUCAGAGAUUUAAAUAUUCCCUAGUCUGAGCUGGUUUGAUCUAGACUGGAGUCACCUGUGCUUAUCUUGAAGGCUUAAAAAGGGCUUUUAAAUAAUUUUUAAAAAUAACUUUAAAAACCAGCAAAGUUUAUAUUAACUCAUACAUCAUUAGCCAUGUAUGAAAUCAACAACAAGAUCACAUCAAUCAUGAGAAUUUGAUUAUUUUAUGGAAUAUCACCCUUUUUUAGGGAGCGUCUAAGCAUCUCAGUAAAGUUAACCAACCUGGCUGCAAAUGAUUCUUGGGCACAGAAUUAUAAUAUUGCAUUUAUUUUCAAAACAGUCUAUUUAAAAAGGAGGGGGAGGAAAUGUUCAAGAAGACAUUAAGCCAACUUUCCUCCCUCUUGGCUGGUGAUCUUAUUUAAUCUUAUGGUCCUCAUGCCCUUGUUUGCAGAAAAUCUCUCCUACCCUGUUUUCCUGCAAAUAAGACAUUCCCUGAAAAUAAGACCUAGUAGAGGUUUUGCUGAAUUGCUCAAUAUAAGGCCUCCCCCAAAAGUAAGACCUAGCAAAGUUUGUGUUUGGAAGUAUACCUGCUGAACAGAACACCAGAGCAUACAGGAUUGGUAAAUGUACAUACCAUAGAUUUUUGUACAUGGAAAUAAUGGUAGUAACAAGAAAUUCUUGAUAGGGUUCACAGCUCAUUUGGUUAUGCUGGUUUGUGAUAACUAUACAGUAUAUAAUAAAUUUUCUUUUUUUUGUUCAACAAUAAAUGUGAAUUCUUCUUUAUGGAAAAAUAAGACAUCCCCUGAAAAUAAGACCUAGCGCAUCUUUGGGAGCAAAAAUUAAUAUAAGACACUGUCUUAUUUUCGGGGAAACACGGUACCUUGUUUCAUCUGAGAGCCAAUGUGAUGCAGUGGCUCGAAUGUUGGACUAGAACUCUGAAGACCAGGAUAUGAUUCCCUGCUCUGCCCUGAAAACUGAUUGAACCUGAGCAAGUCACAUUAUUUCAGGCCCAGAAAGUCCAUUGAAGGCACUCAACAACAAAUCUUUUACCCUAUCCUAUAAAAAGAGUAGACCGUACCUCUUGAGUUGAUCAGAUACUUCUCAAACUAGAGGUGCUUAAACUAGAGGUGCAGAACCAAUGACCCUUCCGAUAAUGGACUACAACUCCCAUCACUCCAAGCAUUGUCCAUGCUGAUAUAAACUUGUGUCCAAUGAUACCUGGAGGUUGAGGGCUAGGCAUGCUCUACUUUUGGUUUAAACCAGUGGUUCUCAACAUGUGGGUCCCCAGAUGUUUUGGCCUUCAACUCCCAGAAAUCCUAACAACUGGUAAACUGGCUGGAAUUUCUGGGAGUUGUAGGGCAAAACACCUGGGGACCCAUAGGAUGAGAACCACUGGUUUAAACAAUAAAGGUGAGGUGCAACAGACUGAUCCAAUAAUGGGAGGAGUUUAACUUUAAUCAUAAAAAGCAGGGAAAUAUAUAGUACUGUACUCCUAUGAAAUCUCACUUAACAUAUUGCCUUUAAAUUGUUGCCUAUGUAUGACAGAUUUAUCCUCAGCAAAUUGAUACCUAUACGUGACAAAUGUAUCCCCAGAAAAUUAAGAAUGUUUUAAUAAUGGGCAUAGGAUUUGGGAGUGAAAUAAGUCACUUAGAGGUGCAAUUAUACCUCCAAGCAAACAAGAUGUUUUAAAUGAGAUUUCCAGAUUCAGAAACAGAGCUGGUCUCAAGGCAGCUGACUAAAUUUAAAAAUCUAGCUAAUAGGCCCCAGGUUUAAAGUAAACUGAGCAUAUUUUGAGCAUAGAAAUGUGCAAGAUGAAUGUGGGACAUUAUUAUUGCUGAGAUAAAGUCCACACAGUUAUCACAUUUUCCCCUAUGUGCAAUAUCUGAAGCAUCCCUCAGUCAGUGUGAUCAAAGAAUUUUAUUAAAGCACACAUAAGCGUUAGUUUGGUGGUGUGACUGAAUACAAAAUACCACAGUGGUCUUACUGGAUCUAGUGCUGUUUUAAAUUUAAAAGGAACUCUCGUCACUUUAUCUGAAAAUAAUACAGCUUUUCCCUUCGGGUACAGAUGGGAACUGUCUCACAGCAACUUUGAUUUGCAUGGUCCCAUAGAGAUAAUGCCUGAUUGAUAAGUACUCUUAAGAGAAGAAUGAAAGGAAAUAGCAAUUGUUCUAGUAGUAAAAGGAUGAGAAAGGAAGCAAACAAUAAAUGAUGCCCGAGUCCUGUUCACUGUCCUUUCUGCAUUGAGCCAUUUUUAAACUUUGCUCUAAAACCUGGUGAUUUAGGGGGGGGGGGGGACCUAGAUCUUCAAUAACACCAGAGCUGAAACUAAUAGAGAAUAUAUUCUUCUCUUGUGAAUGGGUGUUUGCUUUUACUUAGGGCUCUCAGAUCUCAGGAUCUGGGCCAGAGCCACAGGGAUUGGACUUUUUUCUCUAAUCCUCAGGGUGAAGAAUCUCAGGGUUAGAGCAUACCUUUGAAAAUCCUCAAGAUCCCUGGCUAUUUUAGACUAUUUUGUGUUCAGAGCGAAUCUUAACAAACAGAUCUUAAGUUGAGCCUGCAGUGUGUUCUUAAAAGCAGUGCUUUCAAAGAUGUUAAAACAGAGUUGGAGAAAAAUUCUGUCUAUACAGUUUCUUUUUCUGCUCUAUAGGGACCUUGAAAAGUCCAUUCUGUUAAUAUAUUUAGAAAUUGUUCCUAAGAUAUGUCAGACUUGUUGUUCAUUAUUUGAAUGACAGAUUCUGGACAAUUUGGCUGAUAUUUAAUAUCUCACAGCCCAAAAAGCCAAUGCAAUUCAAGGUUGCACCAACUGGACUAUCAAGUUCACAUUUCAAACAUAAUACCACCACUCUAUUUCUUUUCUGGUCAGGCUUUACAUGGAGUCCUAUUUCCAUUUCUCAAGUAAAAGAAGCUGGAAUAUGUCCAAAGCAGGGUGACCAAGACAUCAAAGGUUUGGAAACCAAGCCCUGUGAGAAAGGAUUUAGGGAGCUGGAUGUGUUUAGCUUGGAGAAAGGGAGUGGUGAUGUGAUUAUUGUUGUGUGUGUGUGUGUGUGUGUGUGUGUGUGUGUAAAGGAAUGUCAUGUAGAAAAUGGAACACACUUAUUUUAUGCUGCUCCAGUGACUAAAGCACAAAAUAAUAUAUUCAAACUGGGAGAAAAGAAAUUCCAUCUAACCCUUAGGAACAAGUUCUUAAUUGUAAGAGCUGUUUGACAGUGGAAUAGACUGUCUCAGUGGGUGGUGGCCUCUUCUUCAGAAGUUUUAAAAGAGAAGUUGGGUAGUUAUUUUUUUUCAAAUGCUAUAGUUUUGUAUUCUUGCAAACUGAUAGGCAUCUAAAGAUGGAUGCAUAAAACACUUUAAAAGCCAUUCCGAUUUAAAAGAAGCAUGCGUAAAAAUGCAACAACAGACAACCCCCCGCCCCAGAAGUACAAAUAACCAACAUUUGUAGGAAAGAGAUUAGGAGGGCUAAAUGUAAGAAUGAGCCCAGACCUGCAAAAUAUUCUAAAGUGACAGAAGCUGGGAUCAGCUAUGUUCAGUGCAAGAGAAAAAAAAAUUAGUGGAUCAAAUGCAAAGAGAAGAUGUUGAAAUAUAUAGAGAGAAAACAGAACUGCUUGUCCCCUUGUGAGCCGCCCCGAGUCCCUUCGGGGAGAUGAAGGAGGGAUAUAAAAAUAUCAUAUAAAAUUAUUAUUAUUAUUAUUAUUAUUAUUAUUACUUCUUCAGUUGUUGUUAAAAUGAACCAGUUUUUCUCUUUUCAUCCCACUUUUUCUUACUUCAAUCGCAACAAACUUAAUUCAAAGUGAAAAAGUCCUUUACACUCAAUUAACUCAGCAGGAGAAGAAGCAGAGCUGGGAAUAGAAUCUUGCUCUCCUGGGUAGGCUGAGGCAAAAGCAAAGCUCUGCAGCCUCUUCUAGUUUUCUCCUUUAUCACCUCCUUACUUGUUGUUGGCUGCAACUCUCCCAGUUCCUUAUUUAUUCUGUUUCUACAGGACUGUGCACAGCUUCAUAUACUCCAUCAUUUCACAGAUGAAAACCAGGAUGUGUGUCCCCAGGCAACCUCAGAAUGUGGCUAAGAUUUAGAUUAAGCAACAGGGCAACUUUCUGAUAGUCCUGUUCAGCUGUGGAAGAUACUACUUCAGAAGAUGGUGGACUUUCCUUCAUUGCAGAUUUUUAAACAGAAGUUAGAAGGGGAUCUUUCAGGAAUGUUCCUGCUGUGAAUUUCAGCACUGGCUGUGGGCCGGAUAAUGGCCCUGGGUUUUUUCAACUCUAUUCUAUGAUUCUGUGGUCUUCCAUCCAAGUAUCAACUUGCAUUCAUUCCAAAAUCAGAGCAUAUUGGGUUUGUUCAGCAUUGUAUGUUGAUAGAGGAAGAAGGUUGUAGCAGAGAAAGGCAGUCAACUGAGAAUAUAGGGACAAAGUUCUGGCCCAGCUUAUCUGUCUGAACGUGUCCCCCCGCUACGACCCACCUCAAAGCUUAAGAUCAGAGACAGGGCCUUUUCAGUAGUGGCUCCCCGCCUAUAGUACGCCCCCCCCCCCCAGUGAAGUCAGGCAAGCUCCCUCUUUCCUAUCUUUCCAUAGGAAAGUUAAAACUUGGUUGUGGGGCCAGGCUUUCAAAUAACAAUUAGCAGCACUAAUUAUUAUUAUGUACGCUGGAACGCAAUUGACAGACCCAGUCUUUUAGACUCGAACAUGCCCAUUUGUAUUUUAUAAGUGUUUUUAUGAAUUCUGAUGUAAUUUAAUAACUUUUAAAUUGAUUUACAAUGUAUUGUACAAUUUUAUAUAUGUGUUUUAUUGUAAGCCGCCCCGAGUCCCCUAUUGGGUGAGAAGGGCGGGAUAUAAAUAUUGUAAUAAACAAAUAAACAAAUAAAUAAAUAAAACAUGG
Anolis carolinensis (green anole) is the source of this 11357-nucleotide long non-coding RNA. RefSeq lists it as uncharacterized. NCBI's taxonomy places the organism in Eukaryota, Metazoa, Chordata, Lepidosauria, Squamata, Anolidae. The transcript has 2 exons. The record is from RefSeq and is a predicted model, not a curated record.